AUCGUGGCAAACAAAGUACUCUGACAACCCCUAUACACAUACUUUUCCUGACCUGGUUCGCGAAAUAUCACUAUCCUAUCUCCACAAUUAAUCGUCAUAUAAUAACGAGUCAACCAAUCCAUCGCUAACACAACGUCAAAGUCCUGCAACUGUCUCAAAAUCAAUAGGUCUACAGGCAAGACCCACUGCCCUAACUGCACUGGACACGACAU
This 212-nucleotide long non-coding RNA is filed under the name Ananas comosus (pineapple). RNAcentral's name for it is "long non-coding RNA (ACOM_LNC013837)". The record is from RNAcentral. Lineage: Eukaryota; Viridiplantae; Streptophyta; Magnoliopsida; Poales; Bromeliaceae.